CACGGGGGUUGCGAGCGUUGUCCGGAAUUACUAGGUGUAAAGGGCAGGCAGGCGGAUCCAUAAGUUUAUCGUUUAAGGCGUCGGCUUAACCGGCGUAGGGCGGUAGAUACUGUGGAUCUGGAAUGCGGUUGGGGAAGACAGAAUUCCUGGUGUAGCGGUGGAAUGCGCAGAGAUCAGGAGGAAUACCGAAGGCGAAGGCAGUCUUCCAAGCCGUUAUUGACGCUCAACUGCGAAGGUGUGGGUAUCAAACAGGAUUAGAUACCCGCGUAGUCCCUGAG
RNAcentral lists this ribosomal RNA (278 nucleotides) under uncultured prokaryote. RNAcentral describes it as "partial 16S ribosomal RNA". It matches the Rfam family "Bacterial small subunit ribosomal RNA", at positions 524 to 801 of the family's 1533-position model. The record is from RNAcentral.